This 207-nucleotide ribosomal RNA is filed under the name uncultured bacterium. Its description in RNAcentral is "partial 16S ribosomal RNA". It matches the Rfam family "Bacterial small subunit ribosomal RNA", at positions 524 to 729 of the family's 1533-position model. The record is from RNAcentral.
CACGUAGGGUGCGAGCGUUGUCCGGAAUUAUUGGGCGUAAAGAGCUCGUAGGCGGUGUGUCACGUCGGCCGUGAAAACCUGCAGCUUAACUGUGGGCGUGCGGUCGAUACGGGCAUCACUGGAGUUCGGCAGGGGAGACUGGAAUUCCUGGUGUAGCGGUGAAAUGCGCAGAUAUCAGGAGGAACACCGGUGGCGAAGGCGGGUCUC